This 408-nucleotide ribosomal RNA is filed under the name uncultured Pseudomonadota bacterium. Its description in RNAcentral is "bacterial SSU rRNA". It matches the Rfam family "Bacterial small subunit ribosomal RNA", at positions 295 to 695 of the family's 1533-position model. The record is from RNAcentral. Lineage: Bacteria; Pseudomonadati; Pseudomonadota.
AGAGGAUGACCAGCCACACUGGAACUGAGACACGGUCCAGACUCCUACGGGAGGCAGCAGUGGGGAAUAUUGCACAAUGGGCGCAAGCCUGAUGCAGCCAUGCCGCGUGUAUGAAGAAGGCCUUCGGGUUGUAAAGUACUUUCAGCGGGGAGGAAGGGAGUAAAGUUAAUACCUUUGCUCAUUGACGUUACCCGCAGAAGAAGCACCGGCUAACUCCGUGCCAGCAGCCGCGGUAAUACGGAGGGUGCAAGCGUUAAUCGGAAUUACUGGGCGUAAAGCGCACGCAGGCGGUUUGUUAAGUCAGAUGUGAAAUCCCCGGGCUCAACCUGGGAACUGCAUCUGAUACUGGCAAGCUUGAGUCUCGUAGAGGGGGGUAGAAUUCCAGGUGUAGCGGUGAGAUGCGUAGAG